UCACAGGCUCUUUUAGAGCCACACUUCAAUUAGUGCAAUGAUUAGU
Non-coding RNA from Lepisosteus oculatus (spotted gar), 46 nucleotides. Lineage: Eukaryota; Metazoa; Chordata; Actinopteri; Semionotiformes; Lepisosteidae. The record is from Rfam.